RNAcentral lists this ribosomal RNA (253 nucleotides) under uncultured bacterium. RNAcentral's name for it is "partial 16S ribosomal RNA". It matches the Rfam family "Bacterial small subunit ribosomal RNA", at positions 524 to 776 of the family's 1533-position model. The record is from RNAcentral.
UACGUAGGAUGCAAGCGUUGUCCGGAUUUACUGGGCGUAAAGCGCGCGCAGGCGGCACAGUAAGUAAGGUGUGAAAUAUCCCUGCUCAACGGGGAGGGUGCACUUUAGACUGCUGAGCUUGAGGUCGGUAGAGGGGGGUGGAAUUCCUGGUGUAGCGGUGAAAUGCGCAGAUAUCAGGAAGAACACCCGUGGCGAAGGCGGUUCUCUGGGACGGUACUGACGCUGAGACGCGAAAGCGUGGGGAGCGAACAGG